GCCACUGUGGUCCAGCGGUUAGAACGCUGGGCUUGUAAUUCUGGGGUCCCUGGUUUGAUUCCUGGCAGUGCUC
This is a non-coding RNA of Zootermopsis nevadensis, 73 nucleotides long. The record is from Rfam. Lineage: Eukaryota; Metazoa; Arthropoda; Insecta; Blattodea; Termopsidae.